This 253-nucleotide ribosomal RNA is filed under the name uncultured bacterium. RNAcentral's name for it is "partial 16S ribosomal RNA". It matches the Rfam family "Bacterial small subunit ribosomal RNA", at positions 524 to 776 of the family's 1533-position model. The record is from RNAcentral.
UACGGAGGAUCCAAGCGUUAUCCGGAUUUAUUGGGUUUAAAGGGUGCGUAGGCGGAUUGAUAAGUUAGAGGUGGAAUGUCCGAGCUUAACUCGGGAACUGCCUCUAAUACUGUUGAUCUAGAGAGUAGAUGCGGUAGGCGGAAUGUAUGGUGUAGCGGUGAAAUGCUUAGAGAUCAUACAGAACACCGAUUGCGAAGGCAGCUUACCAAUCUAUAUCUGACGUUGAGGCACGAAAGCGUGGGGAGCAAACAGG